RNAcentral lists this ribosomal RNA (486 nucleotides) under uncultured bacterium. RNAcentral's name for it is "bacterial SSU rRNA". It matches the Rfam family "Bacterial small subunit ribosomal RNA", at positions 28 to 512 of the family's 1533-position model. The record is from RNAcentral.
GAUGAACGCUAGCGGCAGGCCUAAUACAUGCAAGUCGAGGGGUAGUGGAAGCUUGCUUCCAUGAGACCGGCGCACGGGUGCGUAACGCGUAUGCAACCUACCUCUAUCUGGGGGAUAGCCCGGAGAAACCCGGAUUAACACCGCAUAAAAUCACAGUACGGCAUCGUACAAUGAUCAAAUAUUUAUAGGAUAGGGAUGGGCAUGCGUGUCAUUAGUUAGUUGGCGGGGUAACGGCCCACCAAGACCACGAUGACUAGGGGAUCUGAGAGGAUGGCCCCCCCACACUGGUACUGAGACACGGACCAGACUCCUACGGGAGGCAGCAGUAAGGAAUAUUGGUCAAUGGAGGCAACUCUGAACCAGCCAUGCCGCGUGCAGGAAGACGGCCCUCUGGGUUGUAAACUGCUUUUAUUCGGGAAUAAACCUGCUUACGUGUAAGUAGCUGAAUGUACCGAAGGAAUAAGGAUCGGCUAACUCCGUGCCAGC